UACGUAGGGUGCGAGCGUUGUCCGGAAUUACUGGGCGUAAAGAGCUCGUAGGUGGUUUGUCACGUCGUCUGUGAAAUUCCGGGGCUUAACCUCGGGCGUGCAGGCGAUACGGGCAAUACUUGAGUGCUGUAGGGGAGACUGGAAUUCCUGGUGUAGCGGUGAAAUGCGCAGAUAUCAGGAGGAACACCAAUGGCGAAGGCAGGUCUCUGGGCCAUUACUGACGCUGAGAAGCGAAAGCAUGGGUAGCGAACAGGAAUAGA
Molecule: ribosomal RNA, 260 nt
Filed under: uncultured prokaryote
Description: partial 16S ribosomal RNA
Rfam family: Bacterial small subunit ribosomal RNA
Source: RNAcentral